Long non-coding RNA from Rhipicephalus microplus (southern cattle tick), 1566 nucleotides. Lineage: Eukaryota; Metazoa; Arthropoda; Arachnida; Ixodida; Ixodidae. The record is from RefSeq and is a predicted model, not a curated record.
UGAAAAAUGUCUUUUUUGUCAACAGCAUCCUCUAUCUAGCGCUGGUAAUUUGAGCAGAGCUGACCCACACACUGUAGCACCUGAAAGCAGUGAUACCCCGAUCGCCCCCUACGCUUCGGAACUUCUGUAGGGAACGUGUCAUAGUCCACCGCUACCUAAAAACAAGGACGCUGAAACUUCACCGUGUAUCGUUAAUAUGCAUCAUUUUAGUUUCUUUAUUACACAGUGUAAUCACUGCAGGUAUCUAAUGUUGUCUCACGUGUAGAUUCAACUGAUGACCUGAAGGACAGUCUGCCAGUACAAGUCCCUUUGAAGGGUGUGCACCUUUCACCGGAUGCUGUAACUGCUCUCCACGAGAGGUUACGGGAAUUGGAAAACAAGCUCCAACGUACACAGAGAAGCUUGGUACUAGCACAGCGGCAGAAAAACAAAAUAGUGCCAGAAAAAUCAACCUUCUGAAACAAGUUUAACACUUCUUAGCUCCUGACUGUUGUAGUCCUUAGAAAGGCCAUCAAAUGGAAAACAGCAUUGGUCGCCAAGCACUAUACAGAAAGCCCUGAAAGUGUGACUGCCGUGUGGUGCCCGCGGAUAGGCUCUUGUGAAGGAACUUUGCAUACCUCUUCCAGCCGAACGCACUCUACAAGGCACUUAGAAAACAACAAGUUCUCUUCAGGUGUGCUUCACGACAUCCUGCACUGCCUUUUUCUGAAAGUAAAGUUCAUGGAUGACCACGAGAGGCAUGCAAUCUUAAAGUUUGAUGAAAUCCAACUAACAGCAGGCCUAGCUCUUGAUCAGUCAACCAGCGUGGUAAUUGGCAGGCCUACAAUACCUCUAGCCGAUGGGACGCUGCCGGAAGACACUUUGGCUACGCAUGGACUUGUUUUUAUGUUAGGAAGUGUGACCACACGUUGGAACCAGACAGUCGCAUAUCACUUCACAGGGAAUUUUUUUUUAGUUCUGGUGCUGUGAAGAAAGUUAUCUUAGACAUAAUUGGAAACUGCUAAAAAAGUUCUAAUAACGUAUACGCAGUUGACAGUGACAUGGCAGGUGGCAACCAAGUCAUUUGGAAAGAGUUUGGCAUAUUUAUCGGUAAGCACUGCCAAUCAACUGUCUCAUGCCCGCACUCCUGUGAUGCAAGUCGCAGGUUGUAUUUGAUUUGCAGAUGUUGCGCAUCUCUCGAAGAACCUUCGCAACCAUUUCACAAGAGGGCAAUCCUUUCUUUUGCCAGAUGACAUAGUGGCUAAGGAUAAGUUCCCUUCAAAUGAGGUUAAGAUUGAGCACGUGAAGGCUCUUGUGCAGAUUGAUGCUACUCUUGAAUUGAAUCUUGCACCUCACUUGAAGCCAGCUUGUUUAGAGCCAGGACAUUUCGAAAAAAAUGAAAGUAGGUCUCCCCUAUUCAUUUUUUAACCAUAAUACAGUCACUGCCAUUCGUUUUCUAGUUCAAACAGGAGACCUCCCCAUGGAAGCCCUCACAAGAGCCUGGUUUUUUGAAGCCAUUUUAUUAUUACUUAAAUUAAUGACAUCAAGAACGACAAAGCUUGCCCUCAGCAAGCUUGAUGAGCAGAA